This is a non-coding RNA of Schistosoma rodhaini, 45 nucleotides long. The record is from Rfam. NCBI's taxonomy places the organism in Eukaryota, Metazoa, Platyhelminthes, Trematoda, Strigeidida, Schistosomatidae.
AUUCAGCUAACGAGUUCCAAAUAGGACUGAACGCGCGUCCUGCAU